This 412-nucleotide ribosomal RNA is filed under the name uncultured microorganism. Its description in RNAcentral is "bacterial SSU rRNA". It matches the Rfam family "Archaeal small subunit ribosomal RNA", at positions 330 to 745 of the family's 1478-position model. The record is from RNAcentral.
GUGCACCAGGCGCGAAACCUCCGCAAUGCGGGAAACCGCGACGGGGGACCCGAGUGCCGUGGCAACGCCACGGCUUUUCCGGAGUGUAAAAGCUCCGGGAAUAAGGGCUGGGCAAGGCCGGUGGCAGCCGCCGCGGUAAUACCGGCGGCCCGAGUGGUGGCCGCUAUUAUUGGGCCUAAAGCGUCCGUAGCCGGGCCCGUAAGUCCCUGGCGAAAUCCCACGGCUCAACCGUGGGGCUUGCUGGGGAUACUGCGGGUCUUGGGACCGGGAGAGGCGGGGGGUACCCCUGGGGUAGGGGCGAAAUCCUAUAAUCCCAGGGGGACCGCCAGUGGCGAAGGCGCCCCGCUGGAACGGGUCCGACGGUGAGGGACGAAGGCCAGGGGAGCAAAACCGGAUUAGAUACCCCUGUAGU